GGUUACCUACGGGGCGCAGCAGUAGGGAAUCUUCCACAAUGGACGAAAGUCUGAUGGAGCAACGCCGCGUGAGUGAAGAAGGGUUUCGGCUCGUAAAACUCUGUUGGUAGUGAAGAAAGAUGGAGGUAGUAACUGGCCUUUAUUUGACGGUAAUUACUUAGAAAGUCACGGCUAACUACGUGCCAGCAGCCGCGGUAAUACGUAGGUGGCAAGCGUUGUCCGGAUUUAUUGGGCGUAAA
Molecule: ribosomal RNA, 239 nt
Filed under: uncultured bacterium
Lineage: Bacteria
Description: partial 16S ribosomal RNA
Rfam family: Bacterial small subunit ribosomal RNA
Source: RNAcentral